GCCCGGCUAGCGCAAUGGUAGCGCGUAAGACUUCUACCAUUCAGAAAUUGAUCUGUCUGAUGUAAUCUUAAGGUUGCGGGUUCGAGUCCCGCGUCGGGUU
Non-coding RNA from Podospora fimiseda, 100 nucleotides. Lineage: Eukaryota; Fungi; Ascomycota; Sordariomycetes; Sordariales; Podosporaceae. The record is from the annotation of a GenBank genome assembly.